RNAcentral lists this long non-coding RNA (2103 nucleotides) under Gallus gallus (chicken). RNAcentral describes it as "lncRNA (ENSGALG00010007726.1)". The record is from RNAcentral. Lineage: Eukaryota; Metazoa; Chordata; Aves; Galliformes; Phasianidae.
AAGAGUGAGGCAAAAGAGCAGCAACCCAGCUGCACUUCUGCUGUAGCUGUACAGGGAGGCAGAUGAUCCUCAUGAGAGCCAGGGUCUGAAUGAAUACUUGUCUGUCUGCUCUGCUUCUCUGCUGUGUUACAGUGAGUCAGGCAUUUAUCUGUCUAUUCCUGCUACUCUGUACAAUAAUGGAAGGAUGUUUGAAGGAAGUCAUCUGACAACACUGGGCUUCACUGUUCCACCUGGUCCCCCACUUUUGCUGCUGAUGCUGCAAAUGCUGCUGAUGGAGAGAGGAGUCAUCUGCUCAUGGCACAUUCCUCCACAGAUUGUUUGUAAGGUGUUUGUCCUGUCCAGAUAAAGGCAGAGUUUCCCAAUUCCUGUAGCUCAGGAAAAAUCUAUCCUGAGUCUGGGAUUUAAGAUCAAGCAUGGGAUUGUUUGUCUGCAGAAUUGCUGACGUGCUUAAAGUGGCCAGACUGUCCAGAAGGAGACUCAUACGACCUCCUAUCAAUUUUCAUGCUGCAGUUGUUCUCCCAAGAAAAUAUGGUAUUUUGUUUGCUCUAGGUUUGAAAAUAAGGCAUUGUGAGGAGUUAGUAAUGCAGAUAGAUGUUCAGCUUUUGCUGAUUUCUCGUGCAUUCCUGGGAGACUGAUUGAUAUCCAUCCAAAUCUAGUGCCUCCUUAAAACUUUAAAAAAAGCAGAAACAAGACUCUAUCCAACUUGCUCAUUCUCUUUCUUCAUAUGGAGAAUAGGAGAAGAAUAUUACAUAUAUUUACUCAUAUGUGCUUGGUCUUGGCCUAAUGAGGUGAGAGGUACAGUACAGAAAUCACCUAGAAGCAAUGUUUUAUUAGACAACUCUUUAAACAUUCAGAGAAUAACAAAAUAAUUUCAAAGCACUCUCUAAACGAUAGAUAAUUGCAUUAAUAUUAUUAGAUGAAUAAAAGCACAUUAUUGAUAAUAGCUUCUGCCAUAGUAUCGAACACCUGCAUUCACUUUGCAUGUUUGGAGACAAAUUGUGCAGAUGGAGGCCAAGAGAAUACAGCACAAGGAGUUGAGCACUUCUUAACAUCAGAGUAUAAUAUGCGGUCAUUUUUGAGGAACUGAUGUAGAGGUUUAUACUCCUCUCCUUUUUCCACAUUCUCACACUCUUAUUCUCUCCUUCAGGCUCAGAUCAUCCAUAAUAAAGGUGUUAAAAAUCCUCUCCUCUUUUUUUGUGAAAAGCGGAAAAUUUCUUACUGCUCCUUAUACAAACUCAUAAUCAGUGAAUUUGCAAUACUGUCUUUCAACUGAGCAGACAUCUCCAACUUCUUGUUAUCUUUACCAUUAUCUUGGGGCAGAGUUAUUUGAGUCACAGUGACAGAUCAUUCAUAUCUCCUUCUGGAUAUUAAAUUAAUUUGAAAACUGAUUUUUGUUGUUGUUAGUUUUCUGUAAGUAAGUUUUGUUUACACUGUUUUGUUUUGUUUACACUGUGGGAAGAAGAUACAUUGGCUGCUAGACCUAUGAACUUAUUCUUCCUCAUCUGCAGACCUUAAGGAGUAAAAAAAAAAUAAGGUAAUGAUGUCCUUUGCUGAGAAGCUGACACUGGAUGCCAAGGGACAGCUUGGACUGAAGAGCACAGAUAUGAUAAAAAGGAUUUUGAGUUUCUUACAAGAUCUUUCAGAAUAAAUAAAAGAAUCCCAAUGAGAUGAUCUGUCAAGAAUGUAAGAAAAACAACAAAACAAGGGACCAUUAAAAAAUAAAGAAUCAGCUCAGGUCUGAAAACAAGCAGAUGAUGAGGAAGAAGAAAACAAUGUGUACCAAGGUCCAAACGUGUUCUUUCUGUCAGAAAACUCUUCUGAACACUUGCCCCAUGCUGAGCCUACUCUGGAGGAUCUCUCUGUCACAGAAGCCAGCAGGACAUCCUGCAGGAGGAAGGUUCUCUUGGGCACAGCCCUGACAGCAAAACUGGUGCAUGAAAUGGAGGUGGCUUCAAUGUUUUCCAAGCUAAGACUUUGGUUUAUGAGAUAACUAUUCCCAUGAGUAAUGCCCUUCUCUGUGCAUGACAAUUUACUGCAUCCUUGGAACUGAGUAGUAUAGUAUGUAUAUCUUUAUGAUUUACUAUGGAUGCACAUAGAUUUUAG